CCCACCACGCUGCAUUCACUUGCUCGCCCCCCACCCACCUCGGUGAAGCUAGUAACACCAGCAGGUAGCUAACCAGCUAAAACAACUGCUUAGCUGCUCGGACACCUGUACUGCUGUGGUGAAUUGUCUCCUGUCGUGUGCACAUGACAAAAUAUCUGAAGGUACCUCUGGCUAACUACAGGGACCAGGUGCAUCACCCCACACACACACACACACACACACCGGGGUUUUUAUCCCCCCCCGGCCACCAUUGUGUGUUAAAGCUAGCUGGCUAGCAGCAGGACUCGACCAAUGUUGGCAGCAGUUUGGGUUUUAAUUCAUUCUGGCAGAAGUUUAAUCACACAGCUGGGCGAGAUAAUGUUAAUAUUAAACUGUGUCAUUGUGGGAUUGUGGUCGGUGCAGUUUCCUUAUCUUAAUGCCUUUUUUAAAUGUGUUUUCCUGGUCCUGAAGGCUGCAUUAGCCAGAUUAAAGUGAUCAAAUAUGUAAUCUGUUGUAGCUGAGUGAAAUGACAACCCACAGUGCUAAAUGUAAUUUUUAAUCUCCAAAUUAGUUUAGAUGUUAUAGUGAAACACCAAAAAUGUCCCCACAUUUGUUGUAAUAUACUGACAACUUUGAGUUUGUUAGCAUCAAUUCAGCCAAUCACCUCUCUGUGUAUUAGGAUGCUGUCUGUUCUCUUUUAAACAAACUUAUCUUGAUCCUGCAGGGUUGCUCUUGUACAUAUCCAUAUACACACUGUCCUGCUCUGAGGGGCCUAAACAUACAGGACCUUAUCAUUUCAGACAGGCUGGGGAGGGUUGGGGGGUCAUUGUGCAAAACAAGACAACAGUACAUGCGUAAAUGCGUUGAUAACAUUUACGUAAGUAUGUCGGGACGUACACACAGAUGUUCUCGCCA
Dicentrarchus labrax (European seabass) is the source of this 894-nucleotide long non-coding RNA. RefSeq lists it as uncharacterized. The record is from RefSeq and is a predicted model, not a curated record. The transcript is spliced from 2 exons. Lineage: Eukaryota; Metazoa; Chordata; Actinopteri; Moronidae.